RNAcentral lists this ribosomal RNA (441 nucleotides) under uncultured bacterium. RNAcentral's name for it is "partial 16S ribosomal RNA". It matches the Rfam family "Bacterial small subunit ribosomal RNA", at positions 338 to 795 of the family's 1533-position model. The record is from RNAcentral.
CCUACGGGCGGCAGCAGUGGGGAAUAUUGCACAAUGGGGGAAACCCUGAUGCAGCAACGCCGCGUGAAGGAAGACGGUUUUCGGAUUGUAAACUUCUGUUCUUAGUGAAGAAUAAUGACGGUAGCUAAGGAGCAAGCCACGGCUAACUACGUGCCAGCAGCCGCGGUAAUACGUAGGUGGCAAGCGUUGUCCGGAAUUACUGGGUGUAAAGGGAGCGCAGGCGGGAAGCCAAGUCAGCUGUGAAAACUACGGGCUUAACUUGUAGACUGCAGUUGAAACUGGUUUUCUUGAGUGAAGUAGAGGUUGGCGGAAUUCCGAGUGUAGCGGUGAAAUGCGUAGAUAUUCGGAGGAACUCCGAUUGCGAAGGCAGCAUACCGGCUCCAUACUGACGCUGAGGCACGAAAGCGUGGGGAUCGAACAGGAUUAGAUACCCGGGUAGUC